RNAcentral lists this ribosomal RNA (402 nucleotides) under uncultured bacterium. RNAcentral's name for it is "bacterial SSU rRNA". It matches the Rfam family "Bacterial small subunit ribosomal RNA", at positions 355 to 774 of the family's 1533-position model. The record is from RNAcentral.
UCGGGAAUUUCGGGCAAUGGGCGAAAGCCUGACCCAGCAACGCCGCGUGAGGGAUGAAGUAUUUCGGUAUGUAAACCUCGAAAGAAUGGGAAGAAUAAAUGACGGUACCAUUUAUAAGCUCCGGCUAACUACGUGCCAGCAGCCGCGGUAAUACGUAGGGAGCAAGCGUUGUUCGGAUUUACUGGGCGUAAAGGGCGCGUAGGCGGCGCGGUAAGUCACUUGUGAAAUCUCUGAGCUUAACUCAGAACGGCCAAGUGAUACUGCUGUGCUAGAGUGCGGAAGAGGCAACCGGAAUUCUUGGUGUAGCGGUGAAAUGCGUAGAUAUCAAGAGGAACGCCUGAGGCGAAGGCGGGUUGCUGGGCCGACACUGACGCUGAUGCGCGAAAGCCAGGGGAGCAAACG